This 313-nucleotide ribosomal RNA is filed under the name Bacillus sp. AB. RNAcentral's name for it is "bacterial SSU rRNA". It matches the Rfam family "Bacterial small subunit ribosomal RNA", at positions 1162 to 1482 of the family's 1533-position model. The record is from RNAcentral. Lineage: Bacteria; Bacillati; Bacillota; Bacilli; Caryophanales; Bacillaceae.
AACGGAGGAAGGGGGGAGAUCAAAUCAUCAUGCCCUUAUGACUUGGGUACACACGUGUACAAUGGACGGUACAAAGAGUGCAAGACCGCGAGGUGGAGCUAAUCUCAUAAAACCGUUCUCAGUUCGGAUUGUAGGCUGCAACUCGCCUACAUGAAGCUGGAAUCGCUAGUAAUCGCGGAUCAGCAUGCCGCGGUGAAUACGUUCCCGGGCCUUGUACACACCGCCCGUCACACCACGAGAGUUUGUAACACCCGAAGUCGGUGGGGUAACCUUUUUGGAGCCAGCCGCCUAAGGUGGACAGAUGAUUGGGGGG